CUGGAGGUAUCAGAAGUGCGAAUGCUGACAUAAGUAACGAUAAAGCGGGUGAAAAGCCCGCUCGCCGGAAGACCAAGGGUUCCUGUCCAACGUUAAUCGGGGCAGGGUGAGUCGACCCCUAAGGCGAGGCCGAAAGGCGUAGUCGAUGGGAAACAGGUUAAUAUUCCUGUACUUGGUGUUACUGCGAAGGGGGGACGGAGAAGGCUAUGUUGGCCGGGCGACGGUUGUCCCGGUUUAAGCGUGUAGGCUGGUUUUCCAGGCAAAUCCGGAAAAUCAAGGCUGAGGCGUGAUGACGAGGCACUACGGUGCUGAAGCAACAAAUGCCCUGCUUCCAGGAAAAGCCUCUAAGCAUCAGGUAACAUCAAAUCGUACCCCAAACCGACACAGGUGGUCAGGUAGAGAAUACCAAGGCGCUUGAGAGAACUCGGGUGAAGGAACUAGGCAAAAUGGUGCCGUAACUUCGGGAGAAGGCACGCUGAUAUGUAGGUGAGGUCCCUCGCG
RNAcentral lists this ribosomal RNA (501 nucleotides) under Escherichia coli. RNAcentral's name for it is "partial 23S ribosomal RNA". It matches the Rfam family "Bacterial large subunit ribosomal RNA", at positions 1273 to 1775 of the family's 2925-position model. The record is from RNAcentral. Lineage: Bacteria; Pseudomonadati; Pseudomonadota; Gammaproteobacteria; Enterobacterales; Enterobacteriaceae.